ACGAUCCCUAGCUGGUUUGAGAGGAUGAUCAGCCCCACUGGAACUGAGACACGGUCCAGACUCCUACCGGGAGGCAGCAGUGGGGAAUUUUGGACAAUGGGGGCAACCCUGAUCCAGCCAUGCCGCGUGAGUGAAGAAGGCCUUCGGGUUGUAAAGCUCUUUCGGCCGSUAAGAAACUCGCAUAGSUUAAUCCCCKSUCGUUCAUAGCUCGGCUAUCGCUGUAAGAACGAASCGCCRGCGUUCAAUGUGACCCAUGAUCAAACUCU
RNAcentral lists this ribosomal RNA (266 nucleotides) under uncultured beta proteobacterium. RNAcentral describes it as "partial 16S ribosomal RNA". It matches the Rfam family "Bacterial small subunit ribosomal RNA", at positions 276 to 504 of the family's 1533-position model. Lineage: Bacteria; Pseudomonadati; Pseudomonadota; Betaproteobacteria. The record is from RNAcentral.